This is a non-coding RNA of Heterocephalus glaber (naked mole-rat), 3043 nucleotides long. NCBI's taxonomy places the organism in Eukaryota, Metazoa, Chordata, Mammalia, Rodentia, Bathyergidae. The record is from RefSeq and is a predicted model, not a curated record.
AUGCUGAGCUACAUGUGGACAGGAGGAGGGGCCUGGGAAUGGUGGUCACAGGUUGUUGUUGGUGGAGGGACAGCUUUAACUUCCUCCUCCUCAGGUGUCUCUCCCCACCCCGCUGAGCACUUGAUGACUGUAGAUGCUGUGCUGGGAGAACCGGGCUAGCUUUCCUCCCUAGCUGCCAGGCUGCAGAUCAGAACCAGCCUGGGCUCUGGCUUACAAGCUCUCAGUGGUAAUAGACAUUCACAUUUGUGUCCGCAGGCAUAGGAGAGUUAAAUAUCUGGGUGUGGUGGGGAUUAUUACCUCCAGGGCUUGGUGGAUGCAUUUAGAGCUGCAGUCCUCAGACUCAUGACCUCUGUUGAGCUGAGCCUGGCUCUUUUCCCAAUGUUAGCAGCUCAGCAUCUUCCAAUGGCUUGUUGCUGUGUUUGUCUGCUCCCCCUCACCCCAAUGGCGGCUCCGUACUGCAAGCCCGAUGAGUGUAUUUAUGACUGUUCCCUGCACCCACAGCAAGCCCUGGCACCAGCUUGGUAUGUUUGCCAAGCGAGUGGGUGUGAGUAAAUGAGGCCUGGUAUGUUCUGGAAAUGUAAUCAGGAGAUCUAGACAGCAUCUGAAGAGCCAUGAUCUUUCCUAUGUCACCAAAGAGGGGGCCAUUUCCUCUGAUGGGGAUCUUGAGGAUUGUCACAAGGAAUUGAACAUUUUCCACCUCAGCAUGAGCUCCUCCACAGAUCUGAACUCUGCAGGUCCUUCUAGUCCCACCCCUGACCUUCUGUACCAAACAUCUGUGCUGGCCCUUGAACUCCAUGGGGUGCUUGGCCUCUAUGAUCCUUGUCUGGGCUGGUCAGAGCAUGGGAAUAGUCACAGGUUUUCUGCAGGGCCCUGGCACCAUUUCUCUGAAACCCUGAGGCAAUUCCAGUGGGCUGUGUGGCUGGCAGGUCCUAGCUGUGGAGUUCUUGGUGGCAAACUGCAGUCAUAAAGAUAACGGCCCACUUGAUUGCCUUUCAGAUCACUCCCAGGCAGGCAUUUAUAGUAGGGCAUAAACAGGACUUCCCUGUGCUCCCUGUGGUUGUUCCCAGCUCAUGAGAGGCAUGAAGACAGAAACUGUCUGCCCCCCAGCCUCCCUUCAUGCUUGUGCUGCCAACUGUUUUGCAGAAUCAUGCCUAGGUGGGGUGUGGAGACGACAUGCAGGCACACAUUCCAGACAUCCUUUGGUACCCAGGGCUCUGGGGCAGUAGCAAUGUCUCUCAGCCAUAGGUAACUGGCUCACAGAACACUCCUAGCCUCAACUUGGGUCAGUGCUGGGAAAGAAAGUAGCCCCAUGGCUGUAUCAAGCCAGUGUCGGGUGGGCAUGGGAACUACACAGGGAGGGAGGUAUGUGCUCACAGCCUGAAUUUUCUCUGAAGCGCCCCUGUGGGAAAAGUGUCUCAUCCUCGCCUAGGGCCAUCUGUGCAGGUGGAGAGGUCAGGGGAUGGCUGAUGGUCAUCGACAUCAGUACAGGAUCAUAUGGGCCUGUAGAAGGGUGCUGUCAAUAGAUUUUGAUUGAGUUCAAAAUAACAAAAGGGCAAAGAAGCAGGACAAUCCCCAAGUCAAGCACUAGCCCAUGAAGUGACAGAAACUGCAGGAGUCUUUGCCAGGUCACCAGUGUGAUGAGGAUCAAUUUGGCGACUUUCACUGUUCUUUUCAAGUCUCAGAUCCUUCCAAGCUCCCCCUUUCCCUGAGAGAGGACAGAACUGCCAAGGGUGCUGCCCACUGAGGACAACUUGGUGAGCUGCAAAUGCCACAGCUGCUCCUCCUGAUGGCAAGGUCCUGAUUCUGGUCCUUCCUGAACUGCCCUCACACAAGUGGACACCUGUGUCUCCUGUUCUCCCAGCCUUCUUGACUCACCUUUCAGGGCACUGUAGAGAAAGGGCAUUUUCCUGUGGCUUGUCUACAUCCCAUGGAGCUGUAGUUCCAGGGUCAGAAGUCUCUACCUUCCAUCUGUGUUUGGUCCCUGUGGGGUCUUAAUCCCAUCCAUUUUUUAAAUGUAGGGCAUUUAUGUAUGGAAAAGGAAAUAAUAGUCACGAGGGUACUCUAAAUGCACCAUGUAUUAUGAUGCCCCCCUCACUCCAAGCAGGCCUGACUUCUGGCUCUCCUGACCUUGGGUCCCCUGAACAAUGUGGCAAAGACCAUUCUACUCUCAGUGAGGUCAGCCCUGAAUCCAGAGAAAGCAGAGACCCAGCAAGUUGUCUGGGCUCCUGAGCCCUGCUUCUGGUAGAUAAUACACCAAAGCAAAGCCACUAAACCCAGACAUGGUGCUCCAGCACUGGCACAAACACUAGAGGAUGGGAGAAGCAUAUCUGAUCAACCUGACUCAAAUGCUGCAACUACCAGAAAUAAGUGGCACCAGGAGGCUACCAUGGCAUCCUAUAGGCACCAUCUUAUACACACCACACUACACCAUGCCAUCCUAAAUAUGCCAUCCUAUACCACACCAUAUGUCACCCUAUGUAUACCAUCCUACAUACACCAUUCCACAUACAGCAUCCUACAUACGUUACCUCAUCCUAUACUAUCCCAAACUCUACCAUCCCUUUUCACACUAUCCUAUGCCAUACCACUCUCUACCACACCAAUUUACACUACAUCUUUUUAUAUGUAACAUCCUACAUGCGCCACACUAUCCCACCUAUUCCACACUAUAGCAGCCAUCCCACCCCAUGGUAUACCAUGCUAUACCCUCCCAUACCACAUUGCCCUAUAUCUUAUACCAUACCGUAUUGCACCACAGCAUCUGAUCCCACACCAUGUCAUCCCACACCACACUAUCUUAUACCCUAUAUAUACAACAUACCAUCCCACUCCACACCAUCCCACAUCGCACCAUCCCACACCACAUCAGACCACACCACACCACCCAUGCCACACUAUUCCACACCCGUCACACUAUCCAUCCUCCCAUUUAGUUCUUAUCACCAAGAACAGCAUUGUUGGAAGACCAGAACUGUGCAUGUUCACCAGACUGAGAAAUUCUCAAGAAAGUGGAAAGAAAGAAAAUACAAAGAUCUGAACAAUU